RNAcentral lists this long non-coding RNA (1011 nucleotides) under Oryctolagus cuniculus (rabbit). RNAcentral's name for it is "lncRNA (ENSOCUG00000039592.1)". Lineage: Eukaryota; Metazoa; Chordata; Mammalia; Lagomorpha; Leporidae. The record is from RNAcentral.
AUGGACUGGACUUCGAGUCCUGCCCACGGUUGCCCUGGCAGGGCCAGACCAGCGGUUUCCCUGUCCUUAUCCACUCCCACCCCUGCCCAACGUGGCUGCCACGCUCUCUGCUGUUCACGCUCCUCCCACCAGGAGGAGGGCUGCACACCUGGCAGGGCCCUGGUCCUGGGCCGGGCUGGCUCCCCGUUCCGUGUGGGUGCUCAGGGCUCGGCCACUGCAGCUCCCAGCCUGGGUGCAGCCAGCAGCUCUGCCACAGCCUUAGCUCUUCCUGCAAACAGAGGGCGGGCCUGGUUCUGCACCACGUCAGCACAGAGGGCGGGCCUGGUUCUGCACCACGUCAGCACGCACCGAAGUGACCUGGGCAGACGGCUGGUCGGGGGCUACAUGACACUCACUGUCAAUUCAGUGGUGCCGAACUUCACAUUUUUCAUAAUAGAACAUGGGAAAAUGAACAAGAUGGGCUCCCGCACAGAAGCAGCCACAGCAGGAGGCAGGAGUGUCCUCCGUGCAAGCACAGAAGGGCAGCAGGCCUGCACCAUGUGUGUUCCACGUGGUUCUAGCCGACGGUGGCAGAAGUGCUGGAAGGGGGCGCGGUCGGUGCUGCCGUCCACUUCCUCGGCCAGGACCUAUCUGGGGCUGGAGGAGCAGCAGUGUCGGCGGCACUCCUGCUACGAACGCCUCUUCUCCUCGGGUGUUCAAAUGUGCUCACCGCUGUCACUGUGCCCCCAGGCCCACCCCCAUGCUCCUGCUAGCACAGCUCGGCCACGACACGGCCCCCGUGAGGGCAGCUCCCUGUCCGAGAACCACGGAGGACUCCGGCUGUGGUCAGUUACGCCACACGUCUCUGCCUGCACACACUUCCAUAAGCAUCACACAUUCCCCCAAACAGAAGCCCCGCAGGACAAGGUAAACCAAAUUAAAUUUACCUUGGAAUUCAGACCUGGCGCUCCGCCAGCUGCACUUCCAGUGCUCCCGAGCCCCACGUGGCCAGGCCAGGUGUCAGAGGAGUGA